This 201-nucleotide long non-coding RNA is filed under the name Elaeis guineensis (African oil palm). Its description in RNAcentral is "long non-coding RNA (EGUI_LNC061400)". The record is from RNAcentral. Lineage: Eukaryota; Viridiplantae; Streptophyta; Magnoliopsida; Arecales; Arecaceae.
UCUUCCCUCCUUGGUAGCUCUAGCUGUGGUAGGGCCCUCGGCUGAUCCUCCCUACCUUCAGGCCAGCGUCGGAUGAAUCUGUCGAGCCGACCUCGUCUGAUGAGCUCCUCAAUCUCAUCUUGGAGCUGAAUACACUCCUCCAUGUCAUGGCCGUGGUCACGAUGAUAGAGGUAGAACUUGUUAGGGUUGUGCUUUUUAGGG